GCCCGGUUAGCUCAGUUGAUUAGAGUGCUUCCUUGACGUGGAAGAGGUCAAAGGUUUAAAUCCUUUACCGGGCACCA
RNAcentral lists this transfer RNA (77 nucleotides) under Elusimicrobiota bacterium. RNAcentral describes it as "Elusimicrobia bacterium (gut metagenome) tRNA-Val". It matches the Rfam family "tRNA". Rfam says of the family: Transfer RNA (tRNA) molecules are approximately 80 nucleotides in length. The record is from RNAcentral. Lineage: Bacteria; Pseudomonadati; Elusimicrobiota.